RNAcentral lists this ribosomal RNA (1001 nucleotides) under Bacillus sp. NSNT5. Its description in RNAcentral is "bacterial SSU rRNA". It matches the Rfam family "Bacterial small subunit ribosomal RNA", at positions 53 to 1039 of the family's 1533-position model. Lineage: Bacteria; Bacillati; Bacillota; Bacilli; Caryophanales; Bacillaceae. The record is from RNAcentral.
GCCUGCAAGUCGAGCGAAUCGGAGGGAGCUUGCUCCCAAAGAUUAGCGGCGGACGGGUGAGUAACACGUGGGCAACCUGCCUGUAAGACUGGGAUAACUUCGGGAAACCGGAGCUAAUACCGGAUAAUCCUUUUCCUCUCAUGAGGGAAAGCUGAAAGACGGUUUCGGCUGUCACUUACAGAUGGGCCCGCGGCGCAUUAGCUAGUUGGUGAGGUAACGGCUCACCAAGGCGACGAUGCGUAGCCGACCUGAGAGGGUGAUCGGCCACACUGGGACUGAGACACGGCCCAGACUCCUACGGGAGGCAGCAGUAGGGAAUCUUCCGCAAUGGACGAAAGUCUGACGGAGCAACGCCGCGUGAGCGAAGAAGGCCUUCGGGUCGUAAAGCUCUGUUGUCAGGGAAGAACAAGUGCCGGAGUAACUGCCGGCACCUUGACGGUACCUGACCAGAAAGCCACGGCUAACUACGUGCCAGCAGCCGCGGUAAUACGUAGGUGGCAAGCGUUGUCCGGAAUUAUUGGGCGUAAAGCGCGCGCAGGCGGUCCUUUAAGUCUGAUGUGAAAGCCCACGGCUCAACCGUGGAGGGUCAUUGGAAACUGGGGGACUUGAGUGCAGAAGAGGAGAGUGGAAUUCCACGUGUAGCGGUGAAAUGCGUAGAGAUGUGGAGGAACACCAGUGGCGAAGGCGACUCUCUGGUCUGUAACUGACGCUGAGGCGCGAAAGCGUGGGGAGCGAACAGGAUUAGAUACCCUGGUAGUCCACGCCGUAAACGAUGAGUGCUAAGUGUUAGAGGGUUUCCGCCCUUUAGUGCUGCAGCAAACGCAUUAAGCACUCCGCCUGGGGAGUACGGCCGCAAGGCUGAAACUCAAAGGAAUUGACGGGGGCCCGCACAAGCGGUGGAGCAUGUGGUUUAAUUCGAAGCAACGCGAAGAACCUUACCCUUGACAUCCUCUGACAACCCUAGAGAUAGGGCGUUCCCCUUCGGGGACAGAGUGACGGGG